GACGAACGCUGGCGGCGUGCUUAACACAUGCAAGUCGAACGGAAAGGCCCUGCUUUUGUGGGGUGCUCGAGUGGCGAACGGGUGAGUAACACGUGAGUAACCUGCCCUUAACUUUGGGAUAACUUCAGGAAACUGGGGCUAAUACCGGAUAGGAGCUCCUGCUGCAUGGUGGGGGUUGGAAAGUUUCGGCGGUUGGGGCUGGACUCGCGGCUUAUCAGCUUGUUGGUGGGGUAGCGGCUUACCAAGGCUUUGACGGGUAGCCGGCCUGGGAGGGUGACGGGCCACAUUGGGACUGAGAUACGGCGCAGACUCCUACGGGAGGCAGCAGUGGAGAAUAUUGCACAAUGGGCCGAAGCCUGAGGCAGCAACGCUGCGUGCGGGAUAACGGCCUUCGGGUUGUAAACCGCUUUCGCCUGUGACGAAGCGUGAGUGACGGUAAUGGGUAAAGAAGCACCGGCUAACUACGUG
Molecule: ribosomal RNA, 468 nt
Filed under: uncultured bacterium
Lineage: Bacteria
Description: partial 16S ribosomal RNA
Rfam family: Bacterial small subunit ribosomal RNA
Source: RNAcentral